This 482-nucleotide ribosomal RNA is filed under the name uncultured bacterium. RNAcentral describes it as "SSU rRNA". It matches the Rfam family "Bacterial small subunit ribosomal RNA", at positions 26 to 521 of the family's 1533-position model. The record is from RNAcentral.
AGAACGAACGCUGGCGGCAUGCCUAACACAUGCAAGUCGAACGCUUCCGGGGCUUCGGUCGCGGAGGAGUGGCGCACGGGUGAGUAGCGCGUGGGAACCUGCCCUGUUGUGGGGGAUAACCGAGGGAAACUUCGGCUAAUACCGCAUACGCCCCGGGACUUGGUCUUCGGAUUAGGUCUGGGGGGAAAGAUUGAUCGCAGCAGGAGGGGCCCGCGUCGGAUUAGCUGGUUGGUGGGGUAACGGCUCACCAAGGCGAUGAUCCGUAGCUGGUCUGAGAGGAUGAUCAGCCACACUGGGACUGAGACACGGCCCAGACUCCUACGGGAGGCAGCAGUGAGGAAUAUUGGACAAUGGGGGCAACCCUGAUCCAGCAAUGCCGCGUGAGUGAUGAAGGCCUUAGGGUUGUAAAGCUCUUUCGCCCGCGACGAUGAUGACGGUAGCGGGAGAAGAGCCCCGGCUAACUUCGCGCCAGCAGCCGCGGU